AUACUUACCUGGCAGGGGAGAUACCAUGAUCAAGAAGGUGGUUCACCCAGGGCGAGGCUCAGCCAUUGCACCCCGGCUGUGCUGACCUUUGCGAAUUCCCCAAAUGUGGGAAU
This 113-nucleotide small nuclear RNA is filed under the name Seriola lalandi dorsalis. RNAcentral's name for it is "U1 spliceosomal RNA (ENSSLDG00000010885.1)". It matches the Rfam family "U1 spliceosomal RNA", at positions 1 to 114 of the family's 166-position model. From Rfam's summary of the family: U1 is a small nuclear RNA (snRNA) component of the spliceosome (involved in pre-mRNA splicing). Its 5' end forms complementary base pairs with the 5' splice junction, thus defining the 5' donor site of an intron. Lineage: Eukaryota; Metazoa; Chordata; Actinopteri; Carangiformes; Carangidae. The record is from RNAcentral.